Molecule: long non-coding RNA, 1893 nt
Organism: Scleropages formosus (Asian bonytongue)
Lineage: Eukaryota; Metazoa; Chordata; Actinopteri; Osteoglossiformes; Osteoglossidae
Source: Ensembl
GAAGAGCGCAGGCAGGGCGCAGCGAUGUGAGAGAAGUACGUAGAGCAGCACUGCAGACGCGGAAAAUCGCGGUGGGCUUCUCCCUCACCGGCUGCGCCCGCGCACACACACACACACACACACACACACACACACACGCGGUCGAGUCCCUCACGUACGAUACGUCACUCGCGCAUGACCGCUUUAAGAAGUGGUACUUGGAGUAGUUGGUAGAUAGUUGAGGAGCACUUCUGCCCCGCAGCCACACCGUGACAUUUACUCGCCCUCCUCCUCCUCCUCCGCUCGCUGGAGCCGCGAUGAUGAGAAGCGCGAAGCAGCGCGCGACUGCCGCCGGUUUGCAACAGGCUGUCGGCGCCUCGCGCGCUCGUUCGACCCCCGCCGCGUUGCCACGCUGCGUCCUCGCGCUGCUCUGCCUGUGGUCCCCAGCGGGCGCGCGUGCGGAGCCGAGCUGUCGCGCGCACAAGGUUGGUGGAGGACCUGUCGUGUCAAUUCCUUGCGAACUAAACCAGACCCAGCAGCUGAACCUAGAACCCGGAGCGACUGCGCUUUCGGACGGAGAGAGUGCCUGGCUGGUGGUUCGGAACUUCAGCGGGGAACCCAAGUGCUCCUGGGCUCAGGGCGAAGGCAGAAGAUAUCAUAGCGUUGAAGAAGGGGGUGUGUACAAGCUUUUCGUUAAUGAAUCGGGAAUCUACCGCCUGGACUGCGCUUGGGGAAGUGAGAACUCUUCUUUGGUGUUCAGCAUCCACAUGCACCCCAAGAUGGGAAGACCAUCCACACCACAGCUGAAAAUUGUCUAUGCUGGACAAGGGUAUGGUUACAGCUUCGAAUGUUAUUCAAGAGGUCACCCGAAACCACAAAUCACGUGGUUUUCCUCUCUGACCAAUCCCAGGUAAACAGAUUGUUUUCAUGCGAUGUAAAUACCUGGCCUCAUCAGUGUAAAUUUCCAUCUGUUUCAGUGCUCAUGUGCAGUCAGUUGUUCACUAGAUUUCAGUAGCCAAGGGCUGUUCAGUUUGUGCUCCGGAGCCUCGUCCGCACUCUGCUCUUUGUUUAAACCAACCGUGUCUGAAAUCUAUAUUUCACGUUUUUAUCACAUUUACCGUUGUAGAUAUAUGCCGGAAAUGAUACGUAUUUCAUUUCUGUAUGUAACACAAUGUUUGUGUUCAAAAUAUUAAUGUUUUACAAAUGAAAACGGUACUUUGCUAUUUCGUAUAAUUCACAGCGGACGUUCUGCCAUCAUCUAGGCUGCUCGUCGCCUCACCGUAGCACCAAGCGUUUCAUCCGAAACUCAGGGUUACAAUGCAGCCAGUUGCACGGGGGAUUUUUCAUCCUGAUUAUUGCUACGUGUAAAUACUUAGUGCUGCUCAGAAAUGUAACGGUGGGCGAAUUACAGCUGGGAUUCCUUCGACCUCCAGAGAAGUGUCCUUAAUCAGUAGGUUUCGUGAAACGGAAGGCUCGAACCGAGAGCCUGAGAACGAAGGAGGAGCGAUCUGGCCGUGAUUGAUCGGGCUCAUGCUGAGCUCAGUAUCCUCUAGCGUCCGUGCUUCCCUCGGCGAUGUGGCCCAAGCUCACACCCUUUGCUCUCGCUGCCUUCGCCCGCUCGACCGAACUGAUACGUUAAUGACUCGUUCAGGAUUGGACGACAUGGGAGGAAGGAAAACACCUUGUCCACCUGGACAGAGAGCAGCGUGUCUGCCUUCGACUACUAUAACAGAGAUGUCCUGUGCUGCGCCGGGAACUCCCUGGGACAGGAGUGCUCCAAGCUCCAUGCAUACGGUACUGAAGCCGUGCAACUGCAGCUGCUCCUCUCUGCAACGUCGGCUGCUCUGCUUACAGUAUUGUCCUCUAGUGCCGAUGCCUAAUGUUUCAGGCACCGUUUGUACGAUUGUUUUUCCG